RNAcentral lists this ribosomal RNA (253 nucleotides) under uncultured bacterium. Its description in RNAcentral is "partial 16S ribosomal RNA". It matches the Rfam family "Bacterial small subunit ribosomal RNA", at positions 524 to 776 of the family's 1533-position model. The record is from RNAcentral.
UACGUAGGUGGCAAGCGUUGUCCGGAUUUAUUGGGCGUAAAGAGCGCGCAGGCGGUUUGUUAAGUCCGAGGUGAAAUCUCCUGGCUCAACUGGGAGGGGUCUUCGGAUACUGGCCGACUUGAGGAGAGCAGAGGUGAGUGGAAUUCUCGGUGUAGUGGUGAAAUGCGUAGAUAUCGAGAGGAACACCAGCGGCGAAGGCGGCUCACUGGGCUCCACCUGACGCUGAGGCGCGAAAGCGUGGGGAGCGAACCGG